AGUGAACGCUGGCGGUAGGCCUAACACAUGCAAGUCGAACGGCAGCACAGUAAGAACUUGCUCUUACGGGUGGCGAGUGGCGGACGGGUGAGGAAUACAUCGGAAUCUACUUUUUCGUGGGGGAUAACGUAGGGAAACUUACGCUAAUACCGCAUACGACCUACGGGUGAAAGCAGGGGAUCUUCGGACCUUGCGCGAUUGAAUGAGCCGAUGUCGGAUUAGCUAGUUGGCGGGGUAAAGGCCCACCAAGGCGACGAUCCGUAGCUGGUCUGAGAGGAUGAUCGGCCACACUGGACCUGAGACACGGUCCAGACUCCUACGGGAGGCAGCGGUGGGGAAUAUUGGACAAUGGGCGCAAGCCUGAUCCAGCCAUACCGCGUGGGUGAAGAAGGCCUUCGGGUUGUAAAGCCCUUUUGUUGGGAAAGAAAAGCAGCAGGUUAAUACCCCGCUGUUCUGACGGUACCCAAAGAAUAAGCACCGGCUAACUUCGUG
RNAcentral lists this ribosomal RNA (492 nucleotides) under uncultured bacterium. Its description in RNAcentral is "partial 16S ribosomal RNA". It matches the Rfam family "Bacterial small subunit ribosomal RNA", at positions 29 to 507 of the family's 1533-position model. The record is from RNAcentral.